GACUUUUCUUGCAAUUUUGUUGCAUAACGCGGCGUAGCAGCGAUCUUUUUGUGCUGAUACUUAUCAUCGACCCAUCAGGCUCUCACGUGACACAUGGGGCCCGCGUGCAUUCCGUUACGGAGAGAUACCUCCUGCUCCAGUCGAUCAGUUGCCGUGUCCAAAAUAGGAAGUGAUCAGCUGCGCAUUGCGAAAUUCAUCUUUUAUAGCAAACUCACUUGGUGCGUUGUGUGCCAAGAAUGCUAAUUGGACGCGACUCGAAGGCAGCAGCGGAACCUUAAAUGGCAGAGGACGCGGACGGGGAUUCCCAGGAUGGUUCAUCGUCGUCGCCGGCGAUGUCACCUCACCGGCCCCGGUCACCUCUGUGUCUGUUCUAUUUCUCGCACCCAUUCAGGGUGGCUGAUCCGUGCGAACAAGGGCAGGAUCUGCGUGGCCGGAGAAAGGCCGCGCUGGACGCGGUGCUCAAGAAGAGGCAGCAGACACUGACGCGCCGCAAG
Zootermopsis nevadensis is the source of this 494-nucleotide non-coding RNA. The record is from RefSeq and is a predicted model, not a curated record. Lineage: Eukaryota; Metazoa; Arthropoda; Insecta; Blattodea; Termopsidae.